Molecule: ribosomal RNA, 356 nt
Filed under: Weissella confusa
Lineage: Bacteria; Bacillati; Bacillota; Bacilli; Lactobacillales; Lactobacillaceae
Description: SSU rRNA
Rfam family: Eukaryotic small subunit ribosomal RNA
Source: RNAcentral
GGAGCGAUUUGUCUGGUUAAUUCCGAUAACGAACGAGACUCUGGCAUGCUAACUAGUUACGCGACCCCCGAGCGGUCGGCGUCCCCCAACUUCUUAGAGGGACAAGUGGCGUUCAGCCACCCGAGAUUGAGCAAUAACAGGUCUGUGAUGCCCUUAGAUGUCCGGGGCUGCACGCGCGCUACACUGACUGGCUCAGCGUGUGCCUACCCUACGCCGGCAGGCGCGGGUAACCCGUUGAACCCCAUUCGUGAUGGGGAUCGGGGAUUGCAAUUAUUCCCCAUGAACGAGGAAUUCCCAGUAAGUGCGGGUCAUAAGCUUGCGUUGAUUAAGUCCCUGCCCUUUGUACACACCGCCCG